RNAcentral lists this non-coding RNA (93 nucleotides) under uncultured Eubacterium sp. The record is from RNAcentral. Lineage: Bacteria; Bacillati; Bacillota; Clostridia; Eubacteriales; Eubacteriaceae.
AACAGGGGAGCUGGGAAGACCGGCUGAGAGGAAGCAGAACGAUGCUUCGACCCAUAAUACCUGAUGUGGAUAAUGCCAACGUAGGAAGAGGAG